UGGCGGCGUGGAUUAGGCAUGCAAGUCGAACGAAUCCCACUGUUGUAGCAAUACAGUGGUGGGGGAAGUGGCGAAAGGGGCAGUAAUGCGUGGGUAACCUACCUCGGGGACGUGGAUAGCCAUUCUAACGAGUGGGUAAUACGCGGCGAUUUGGUUGAGGGGCAUCCCUUGGCCAGGAAAUGAAUUUCGCCUCGAGAGGGGCUCACGUGAUAUUAGCUAGUUGGUGGGGUAACGGCCCACCAAGGCAAAGAUGUCUAGCGGGUGUGAGAGCACGACCCGCGCCACUGGCACUGAGACACUGGCCAGACACCUACGGGUGGCUGCAGUCGAGGAUCUUUGGCAAUGAGCGCAAGCUUGACCAAGCGACGCCGCGUGUGCGAUGAAGGCCUUCGGGUUGUAAAGCACUGUCGAGGGGGACGAAGCCGCAAGGUUGACCGAUCCCUGGAGGAAGCACGGGCUAAGUUCGUGCCAGCAGCCGCGGUAAGGCGAACCGUGCGAACGUUGUUCGGAAUCACUGGGCUUAAAGGGCGCGUAGGCGGCUUGCCAAGUCAGGGGUGAAAUCCAGCAGCUUAACUGUUGAAGUGCCUUUGAUACUGGCGAGCUCGAGGGAGGUAGGGGUAUGCGGAACUUCUGGUGGAGCGGUGAAAUGCGUUGAUAUCAGAAGGAACGCCGGUGGCGAAAGCGGCGUACUGGACCUCUUCUGACGCUGAGGCGCGAAAGC
This 721-nucleotide ribosomal RNA is filed under the name uncultured soil bacterium. RNAcentral's name for it is "bacterial SSU rRNA". It matches the Rfam family "Bacterial small subunit ribosomal RNA", at positions 37 to 760 of the family's 1533-position model. The record is from RNAcentral.